This 3655-nucleotide small RNA is filed under the name Pongo abelii (Sumatran orangutan). RNAcentral describes it as "processed transcript". Lineage: Eukaryota; Metazoa; Chordata; Mammalia; Primates; Hominidae. The record is from RNAcentral.
AAACAGAUCCGGAGCGCGUGGCGGGCGUCAGCGCAGUGGCGAGCGCGCAGAGGCGGGCGCGGAGGCGGCUAGAAGGUGACCGCGGAACCCAGCUUCCUGCAGCCGGGUCUGGCCGUGGGUCUGGGCUUCGGGGCACUGGCAGAGGUCGCCAAGAAGAGCCUGCGCUCCGAGGACCCCUCAGGGAAGAAGUCCGUGCUGGAUUCCAGUCCUUUCCUGUCCGAGGCCAAUGCAGAGCGGAUUGUGCGCACGCUCUGCAAGGUGCGUGGUGCGGCGCUCAAGCUGGGCCAGAUGCUGAGCAUCCAGGGUGAGUGGGCGCAGGGGCUGCUGCCCCAGUACUGUGUGGGCUGCUGGGGGCGGUCAACUUCCAGGGCCGGGAGCAGUGGCCCCACCAAAGCUCAGUGGGCAAGAUGUGAGCAGGCUGGGGAGACAUCUCAGAGGAUAACAGGCCUGGUCUCCAGGCGAGUGGCUCUGGGUCCAAAGAAACACAUGGAAAAAAGAGCAGAGAGGAAAAAUUGCUCUCUAGAGGCGGUCAGAACACAGGUCAUUUCAACAUUUUACUGUUUUAUUUUCCAAAUUUCUUUUGUAAUUAUGAAAAACUCUGCAUGUUGUGUGUAAAAAAGCCCACCUUCUCAGGUCGCUGGGCGGAGGCUGGGGCUCCAGGGAUGCCGAGUGGCCGAGGGCGUGUGUGCGAGGGCUCCUGUCUUUCUGGCCUCACCCGUGCUCCUGGUGGGGAGGGUGUGGUGGCCAGGGCAUCCCAGGAGUGUGCCCGCCCAGGUCCUGGGCGCACACUUUCAUCCCCAGGUUCGCCCUGUGUCACUCUCCUGCCUUCCAGAUGACGCCUUUAUCAACCCCCACCUGGCUAAGAUCUUCGAGCGGGUGCGGCAGAGCGCCGACUUCAUGCCGCUGAAGCAGAUGAUGAAAACUCUCAACAACGACCUGGGCCCCAACUGGCGGGACAAGUUGGAAUACUUCGAGGAGCGGCCCUUCGCCGCUGCAUCCAUUGGGCAGGUGCACUUGGCCCGAAUGAAGGGCGGCCGCGAGGUGGCCAUGAAGAUCCAGGUAGGCGGCCUGAUGCGCAGUGCCUGUCCCUAUGGGGGCUGCAGGGGGCAGAGCUGGGGCCUGGUUCAUGGGGACCUCUGCACCCCACGUCCCGCAGGGCACCCUCUCUCCUGGCAGGGCCAUAUGUGGUGUCCUCUGGCCCCAGUGCCUGGACGGCACCAGAAGCUUGGGAAGUAUUUGCUAAAUGAGUGACUUUGGGGGCACGGAGGGGCCCCCAGCAAGCUUGGUUUGGGAUGGGCAGGGACAGGGGACAAGUGAUUGCCUUUUGGGGCCAGAGCUGGUGGGAGGGUGGCCGUGUGCUGUUCCCAGCGGUGAGGUGAGGCAGGAGUGGACAGAAGGUGAGGCAGAAGGAGUGGACAGAAGGUGAGGCAGAAGGUGGACAGUGAGGCUGUGAUAGGGUCCAGGGGUCACGGCAGCAUGGCUGGGUCUUAGCUCUGAUUCUCCGGGGUGUGGGCUGGGGCCACGACACAGCUGGGAAGCCAGUGGGGGGUUGGGGGAGUGCCCUAGGCAGGGCCCACCCAUCUCCCUGGGCUAACUCCCCUGCUCUGCCCAUACCCCCACAGUACCCUGGCGUGGCCCAGAGCAUCAACAGUGAUGUCAACAACCUCAUGGCCGUGCUGAACAUGAGCAACAUGCUUCCAGAAGGUCUGAGGCUAGGUGGUUGGGUCAAGGGCAGGAGUGGGUAGCAGGCAUCUGUGUUGGGUUCUGGGGACCAGAGGGGGUCCUCCCUGCAGAGCCCCCUUCCUCGCUGAUGCCCUCCUCCCUGGCCCAGGCCUAUUCCCCGAGCACCUGAUCGACGUGCUGAGGCGGGAGCUGGCCCUGGAGUGUGACUACCAGCGGGAGGCCGCCUGCGCCCGCAAGUUCAGGUGUGGCCCCCCAGCCGGGCCCCUUGCGUGUUUCCACCAGGGAGGCAGAAGGAACCAUGUUCAGCAGCUGGUGAAGGCCCCUCUGGCUCUGAGGGGCAGAGGGCUGGGGUUGCAGCCUGGGCCGAGGCCACAUCCUGCCUGGGGUGAAGGAGGGCUCUCUGCCUGGUGGGGUGUGUGUGUGGGGGGGCGGUGUGGGGGGCCUGUGGCUAGAGCGUGACCUCCCGCCCCUACCCAGGGACCUGCUGAAGGGCCACCCCUUCUUCUACGUGCCUGAGAUUGUGGAUGAGCUCUGCAGCCCACAUGUGCUGACCACAGAGCUGGUGUCCGGCUUCCCCCUGGACCAGGCCGAAGGGCUCAGCCAGGAGAUUCGGAAUGAGAUCUGCUACAACAUCCUGGUUCUGUGCCUGAGGGAGCUGUUCGAGUUCCACUUCAUGCAAACAGACCCCAACUGGUCCAACUUCUUCUAUGACCCCCAGCAGCACAAGGUGGCUCUUUUGGAUUUUGGGGCAACGCGGGAAUAUGACAGAUCCUUCACCGACCUCUACAUUCAGAUCAUCAGGGCUGCUGCUGACAGGGACAGGGAGACUGUGCGGGCGAAAUCCAUAGAGAUGAAGUUCCUCACUGGCUACGAGGUCAAGGUCAUGGAAGACGCCCACUUGGAUGCCAUCCUCAUCCUGGGGGAGGCCUUCGCCUCCGAUGAGCCCUUUGAUUUUGGCACCCAGAGCACCACCGAGAAGAUCCACAACCUGAUUCCCGUCAUGCUGAGGCACCGUCUCGUCCCCCCACCCGAGGAGACCUACUCCCUGCACAGGAAGAUGGGGGGCUCCUUCCUCAUCUGCUCCAAGCUGAAGGCCCGCUUCCCCUGCAAGGCCAUGUUCGAGGAGGCCUACAGCAACUACCGCAAGAGGCAGGCCCAGCAGUAGGGCUGUGGGCCACGCCCAGGCCGGCUCCGCGGGAACUCUCUCCCUCAGACAGGCCAAAAACCAGUAGGGAGGUGGUGGUGAUGCUCUUUUUAACUCCUUUGCCCAAUAAGGGGGGGUGGCUGCCUGGAGCCCCGUAGCCAGCGCUUUCCACGGUUUCUGUUGCUAAAUGGUUGUAGGGUGAGAAGUGCAGGAAUGAAGAUGAAGCCCCACUGCUCGGUCAGUCUGCCUCCGUGUGUCCUCUGAAAUAAGUAGAUGAAGAUGAAAGGGCAACUUUGUUUUCUUCUUUUUCCUGACGUGAAUGUUGAGCAGAAGGGAGAGAGUCCUUACUCCCUUCCAAUCUCUGUUCCAGUGCAAAACCCAGAAACAUGAACACAGAUACGAUUGUGGGAUUUUGUCAUCUGUGUAGUAGGUGUGUGUAUGUGUUUCUAGAGUUAGAUUUGUGUUUUUUGCCCUUUUCCUCUCCAUCCGAUGGGCUGGAGCUGGGAGAGGUGCUGAUCUAACAGUGCCAACAAGUGCUCCUUAAGCCUGCGAGGCCCAGGCCUGUGGGGCUGGCUCUCACCUUUGACAGCUGAAUGUUUCUAAAGAACUGCUGCCCUACAGUAAGGGUGGGAGCAGCAGAACAGGGAAUGCCAGACACAGGCUCGCUGCUGCUGGAAGGCAGGGUGGGACUUCCUUCCUCUGUCCGGAGAGGCACAGGUGUCACCAGUUCCAGCCAAAGGCUCCUCACAGGCUCUGUGAAUUUUUGUACAAGUCUUGUAAUUAUCGAAUCAACUUGUUUCAAUUUAAUAAAAAUGCUCAUGGGAAGUG